Molecule: ribosomal RNA, 468 nt
Filed under: uncultured bacterium
Lineage: Bacteria
Description: partial 16S ribosomal RNA
Rfam family: Bacterial small subunit ribosomal RNA
Source: RNAcentral
GACGAACGCUGGCGGCGUGCUUAACACAUGCAAGUCGAACGGAAAGGCCCUGCUUUUGUGGGGUGCUCGAGUGGCGAACGGGUGAGUAACACGUGAGUAACCUGCCCUUGACUUUGGGAUAACUUCAGGAAACUGGGGCUAAUACCGGAUAGGAGCUCCUGCUGCAUGGUGGGGGUUGGAAAGUUUCGGCGGUUGGGGAUGGACUCGCGGCUUAUCAGCUUGUUGGUGGGGUAGUGGCUUACCAAGGCUUUGACGGGUAGCCGGCCUGAGAGGGUGACCGGCCACAUUGGGACUGAGAUACGGCCCAGACUCCUACGGGAGGCAGCAGUGGGGAAUAGUGCACAAUGGGCGGAAGCCUGAUGCAGCACCGCCGCGUGCGGGAUGACGGCCUUCGGGUUGUAAACCGCUUUCGCCUGUGACGAAGCGUGAGUGACGGUAAUGGGUAAAGAAGCACCGGCUAACUACGUG